GGUGGUGACUCAGGGAACCGCGAAGAUAAAAUCAAUGAAUUAAUUGAGAAGUUGAAUUAGUGCAGAACCUAUGCCCAGUCGUAAUUCAUGUGCAAGGGAUGGAUCCGUUAUACCUUGUCAGUUUUGUAAUAGCCUAGCCGAUUGUACCUUUAUUUCUGAAAGCUUAAUAGAGUGUUCAUGCUCAGAUUAUGAAAUAGCAGAAUCUGUUUUCCUACCCGCCUUCUCGUUCUUAGUUUUGAUGAAGUGAUUCUACUGAAUCUAGCUUUUGAGAACCUCUCUGACCAAGUAACUUGAGUUGGAAGGUACUACGGCAUAUUGUGAUGAAAAUGUUUCCGCCUUACUGAAACUUGUUGCUGAUUAUAUCUGACCCAAGUGGUUUGAGAUGUAAAGGUUCUCGUUAUUGGGUAUUCCCAUGGAAAUGGUUGGUUUCGUGCUCUGUUUUUUUUUGGGAGAAUUCGUCAUGUUUGUUUGGGAUUUGUUCGUUGGAAGUAUGUUUAGCAAAUAUUUCAUCCAGACUUUGUCAAAAUUUGGCCUUUGCUAUUCUGAAUUCUGAUGCAUUCGUCUCAACAGGAUCAUAUUCGAAGCCCAGGAUUUGCCGACUGCCGUGCCAGUUUGUUUCAGCAAAGUAUGUUUUUGCUGAUAAGAAAAGACGGCGAGGGCCGAGGAGAUUUCAACGAAACUGCCAACCAAACUGGUGGAUUCCACGACAUGAAUGCACUACGCAAAAGUUAGUCUUUUUUUUUUUUGAGAAGGACGCAAAAGUAAGUCAAGUUGUAAAUUUUCUCCAUAUUAUACUCAUACGGGCCAAACAUGCCCACUUGAAUUACGGACCAGAGUGCCCAGAGCGCUUCAUGCUUUGCCUUUCAUCUUCAUUCAUUCCACCGUGCUUUGCAGCUGAGAACGCAACAUGGCGGAAUCGCUUCCCGGUGGUGCGCGGGGUGGCUGGCAAGGCGGCGAACGCGCUCGUCCAGAGCGUCACGCGCGUGUGCGGCGUCGACGGCGACCGCCGCAAGCUGGAGCGCCAGCUUCUGGCCGUCCAGUGCAAGCUGGCCGAUGCCAAGGCGAAGAGCGAGACUAAGGGUGUAAGUGGGUCAGCCGCGAACCUACUUAUAGGUCAAAAUAAGCGGGCUCGCGGCUUAUUUUAGCCUAUAAGUGGGUUUCACGGGUUAGCCACUUACAACCCUAAGCGAGACCAACCCCGCCGUCAAGCGCUGGAUGAAGGACCUCAAGGCUGUCGCCUACGAGGCCGACGACGUCCUCGACGACUUCGAGUACGAGGCUCUGCGCCGCGAGGUCAAGAUCGGCGACUCCACCACCCGCAAGGUACUCGGCUACUUCACGCCGCAUAGCCCACUCCUGUUCCGUGUUACCAUGAGUAGGAAGCUGGGCGAUGUCCUCAAGAAGAUCAACGAUCUGGUUGAAGAGAUGAACAAGUUUGGCCUGAUGGAGCACACAGAGGCGCCACAGCUUCCUUAUCGGCUAACACACUCGGGGCUGGACGAGUCAGCAGACAUAUUUGGGCGAGAGCAUGACAAGGAGGUGUUGGUUAAACUGAUGCUGGAUCAGCAUGAUCAACAGAAUUUGCAGGUUCUCCCCAUCGUGGGGAUGGGCGGUUUGGGCAAGACAACGCUUGCGAAGAUGGUGUACAACGAUCCGAUUGUCCAGAAACAUUUCCAACUGAAGAUGUGGCACUGUGUUUCGGAGAACUUUGAACCUAUUUCUAUUGUGAAAUCCAUCAUUGAGUUGGCUACAAAUAGAAAAUGUGACCUACCUGACUCAAUUGAGUUGUUGCGAAGGCGACUUGAAGGAGUCAUUGACAGGAAAAGGUUUCUACUUGUUCUUGAUGAUGUAUGGAAUGAGGACGACAACAAGUGGAAUGAACACCUAAGGCCACUUCUGAAUUCUGUCGGGGGUCCAGGGAGCAUUAUAGUCAUCACAACUCGCAAUCGGCGGGUGGCAUCUAUAAUGGAAACCCUUCAACCCUAUAAGCCAGCAUGUCUAAGUGAAGAUGAAUCAUGGGAAUUGUUCUCGAAGAGAGCGUUUGGUAGAGACGUACAAGAGCAAGAAGAUUUGGUCACCAUUGGCAAAUGUAUUGUACAUAAAUGCAAGGGGCUGCCACUUGCUCUGAAGACGAUGGGCGGUCUAAUGAGUUCCAAACACCAAGUCAAGGAAUGGGAAGCCAUCGCAAGAAGUAAUAUUGGUGAUAGUGUCAAAGGAAAAGACGAAAUCUUAUCAAUACUAAAAUUGAGCUACAAACACUUGCCAUCUGAAAUGAAACAAUGCUUCACCUUCUGUGCAAUUUUCUGCAAGGACUAUGAGAUGGAGAAGGACAUGUUGAUCCAACUAUGGAUAGCAAAUGGUUUUAUUCAAGAAGAGGGCACAAUUGAGUUGUCACAAAAAGGCGAGUUUGUUUUCAAUGAGUUGGUUUGGAGAUCAUUUCUUCAAGAUGUUAAAACAAUAUUAUUCAGAAGCUUAGAUUAUGACUUUGUUGUAUGUAAAAUGCAUGAUUUAAUGCAUGACUUAGCAAAAGACGUUUCAAGUGAAUGUGCAACUACAGAAGAACUGAUUCAACAGAAAGCACCAUCUGAAGAUGUUUGGCAUGUGCAAAUAUCAGAAGGUGAAUUAAAACAAAUCAGUGGAUCAUUCAAAGGUACAACAUCUCUCCGCACUUUGUUGAUGGAAUUACCAUUAUACAGGGGUCUUGAAGUGUUGGAACUGAGGUCAUUUUUCUUAGAAAGGUUAAAACUGAGGUCGUUGAGAGGACUGUGGUGUCACUGUAGGUACGAUUCUUCUAUUAUCACUAGCCAUCUCAUAAAUACAAAACAAUUAUGAUAUCUUGACCUUUCUAGGUCUAAUAUACAUAGACUGCCAGAUUCAAUAUGUGCAUUGUAUAACUUACAAUCACUGAGGCUCAAUGGCUGCAGCUAUCUAGAAUGUUUACCUGAAGGCAUGGCAAAUCUAAGGAAACUCAACCACCUUUAUCUGUUGGGAUGCGAUAGAUUAAAACGGAUGCCCCCAAAUUUUAGUCUACUGAACAAUCUAUUGACACUAACAACGUUUGUCGUGGACACCGAUGCUGGCAGGGGAAUUGAGGAGCUCAAACAGUUGAGAUACCUUACCAAUAUGUUGGGGCUGUACAAUUUGAGAAAAAUAAAGAGUACAUCGAACGCGAAAGAAGCCAAUCUCCAUCAGAAACAAGAGCUGAGUAUAUUACGAUUAUUUUGGGGCUGCAUGUCAUCCUACAUGCCUGGAGACAAAGACAAUAAUGAGGAAGAAAUGUUGGAAUCUCUUAAACCUCACAGCAAGCUUAAAAUUUUGGAUUUAUAUGGUUAUGGUGGAAGUAAAGCCUCAGUGUGGAUGAGAGACCCUCAAAUGUUCCGGUGCUUAAAAAGGCUCAUUAUUGAACGAUGUCCAAGAUGUAAGGACAUUCCAACAGUGUGGCUAUCAGCCUCUCUUGAGUAUUUGUCCUUGUCUUAUAUGACUAGUUUGAUCUCAUUAUGUAAGAACAUUGAUGGGAACACCCCAGUGCAGUUAUUUCCAAAGUUGAAGGAGUUGAUAUUAUUUGUUUUACCGAACUUGGAGAGGUGGGCAGAAAACAGUGAGGGGGAGAAUAAUGAUGUGAUCAUUUUCCCGGAGCUUGAAAGCCUAGAAUUGAAGAGUUGCAUGAAAAUUUCAAGUGUUCCGGAAAGCCCGGCUCUCAAAAGGCUGGAGGCUCUGGGGUGUCACAGCCUCUCAAUUUUCUCACUUUCACAUCUCACAUCAUUGUCUGACCUUUAUUACAAAGCAGGUGAUAUUGACUCUAUGAGGAUGCCUUUGGACCCUUGUUGGGCUUCUCCCGUGAGCUUAGAUGUUAGCUCACCAGCGAACAUGAUGGUGCCUCUGGAAGACAAGAAAAGCCGUAGACCCUUCGAAGCCCUACGGAGCUUGACUCUGCGUGGUUCUAACUGCUUCUUAGCAACGUGCAGUUUGUUUUUUGCCGGGACGGCCAAAGGUAGGCCGGCCAAUUUCAUUAAGAUUGGGGGAAAUAAAGUUUUAAUUACAACGACAUGAAGGAUGUCGCGCCGGUCUCAGGCAAACUCAAGCCCGGAAAGAAAAAGAAAAAAUGGGGCAAGUCCCGCCUCUAAUCGGGAUUACUCGCUAGCAUGGGAAAAAAUCCCUGCUGCCCUCCAAAUUGCGAUUUCCUCGUUGAUGUCAUCCGCUAGCCGGUCAACCGACUUGGCGAUGUGUUGAAAGAUCCUUGUAUUUCGCUCUUUCCAGAUAAGCCAACAAAUUAGCAUGAACAGACUAUCGAAAUCCGUCCUAUACGUGUUCUGAAAACGCCGUCUUGUCGCGAUCCACCAAUCUGCAAGCGGCAUGCCAUCUUCCGCAGGGAUUGCAAUGUUAAUGUUGUACCAACGUCUCAGCUUGCGCCAAACCGCCGCCGUAUAAUCACAGGACACAAGCAAAUGAUGGCAGUCUUCGUUCUCGCAACGUGCAGUUUGUCAAAAGUGCAUCUUGGGCUCUGGGAGUGCUUUGCUUUUGUGAAGGAUUUGACUGUCCAUGGUUGUGAUGAUCUUGUGCAGUGGCCAAUGGAGGAGCUCCGUUGCUUGAUUUGCCUUCGACAUCUGUCUUUUCGUGCAUGUGGCAAGUUGGAGGGGAAGUGCAGAUCAUCGGAUGAAGCCCUUCCGCUGCCCCAACUAGAGAGGUUUGAAGUAUCGCAUUGUGACAAUUUACUGGACAUACCCAAGAUGCCGACGUCACUUGUGAAUUUGGAAGUUUCACAUUGCCGAAGUUUAGUGGCACUGCCUUCGCACCUGGGAAAUCUGCCCAGACUCAGAUCGCUUACUACGUAUUGCAUGGAUAUGCUGGAGAUGCUGCCCGAUGGGAUGAAUGGCUUCACAGCUCUUGAGGAAUUGGAGAUUUUUAACUGUUUACCGAUAGAGAAGUUCCCUGAGGGUCUCGUUCGACGUCUCCCGGCCCUGAAAUCCCUGAUGAUACGUGACUGUCCAUUUUUGGUAAGACGCUUCCAAGAGGGUGGAGAGUAUUUCGGCUUGGCACCGCAUGUUAAACUGAGUCAACGACAGAAAGUACGCGGCAUGAUUCACUGAUUCGUCAUUUGCCAAAUAUUUCAUCCAGAAGUGACUUAAAUUUGUCAAACAUUAGGCCAUUGCUGCUGUUCUCAACUUUCUGAUGCAUUCGCUGGUCUAGUUUGGAGUUUUUUGUCCCGUCCCUUCACUGCCUUGCCCCUCACAAGUCACCAACGAAUCUCACCUCUCGCGGACUCGCCCCGCUCUGUCCUUGCUUCCCUCCUCCGCCGCGGUGUUCAGGGCUUCAGGCGGCGGAGGAGGCGGCGGGGUGGAUGGCGCCGGUGUUCGAGAGGCUGACGGGGAUCCGAGCACUCGCCGACUCCGCCCGCUUCAAGGUAUGCCCUCUCUUUUCCCCCUCACCUAUCCAUCAAGUUAGCAACCGCCGACCUGCGCGGAAUUACUACUCGUUUUGCUCAUUCAGUUGCGCUUGUGCUUGUGAUUAUUCCCCUAACCAUUGAUUACUCGUGCGUUUCCUAGUUAUGGUAACUGCGAAUCACGCGGUCGAUUCAGGGGUGGAUAUGGAAUUAUUUGGGGGAAAUUUCGGCUAGAAAAUUUACGGGGAAAGUUGAUUUCCCACCCAGCGCGUAGUACUAGCAUUUACCACUAGCACUUCUUCUGCUCGUUUGAUUAAAGCUGCAUUUGUCUGGCUUGCAGGCGUGGUUCCUCGACCAGAUUGGUGUUCUUCACCAUGGGAAUAUGCCUUACCUGGUGCCAUCCUUGCAUGUAUGUAUCUUGGUACACACUGUAUAUAAUUAUAUUCUCUAACUUAUAUAUCCAUUUCUCUUAUUUUGUUCUACAUCUGACUCAAUGCACUGAUUAAGUUAUAUUUGGUUGUUGCACUAGUGUUCAGUUUACUUUUUUUUCCCCUUCUCUGAUGCGAUGCACUGGUUAAGUUAUAUUUUGGUUGUUGCAGUGGGAAAGGGGCGAAGAUGGUUAUCAUUAGCAAUUCGUUAAGGAGGUCGACUGUAACCAUGGAGAAGCUAGAGAGCCUUGGUUUCACAACUCGUCUUGUUUCCUCUCGGGGCCAUCACUAGCGGGGAACUCACACAUCAGUAUCUUCACAAGAACUAAGCUUCUAGCUGUCGGUAUCUUCUGCUAACAGAAGCUGCAGUGGGGUCUCCUUGAGGAAUGUGGGGUGCAAUAGAUAUUAUGAUCAGAAUUAAAGUUGGCUUACCAGCAGUGAUCUAUUUAAGAAGGUAUUUCUGUUGUUGCACCUUCUAAAAAUUUAUGUUAACCAUGGAAAUUUGGAACUUUCAAUAACACAUAGCUCUCAGUUUUUUUUUUUUUUUGCGUGGACUUAUUUUGGAGGUCUAGUUUACAAAAAAAAAAUUAAUAAAAAUAAAAAUCACUAGGUGUAACAAUGCCUGAAAUCUGAUUCUCUAAUCUCAAUUAAUAUUUUUGUUGGAUUCAAGAGCUCAAAUUUAAAAUGCUACCAGGACUUAAUUUAGGAUCAUCUUCAUUGUCACCUGUUCGGUGGAGCAAUUUUUGGUGUCCUGCCACAAGUAUAAAAAUCAUAGUGGGUUAUGCUUAAAUUUUUGCAUUGAUAACCGUCUCGAUCAUUUGUAACUUCCCAGACAUAAAGAUGCAGUUUCUGUCUCCAAAGGAAAACAAAAAAAAGGAUAUUUGGUUUCCCUUUUUUUGGUGGAGUAAAGAAGAUACUUCUAGCUGUUUCUCAUGGUUUGGUAAUGUACACUGUAACAUCACCAUCUGUACUUCACUGAAAACAGGCUCUAGGAGAACAUGGCAUCAUAUGUUUGGAAGAUGAGCAUGAAAUCGCAACAGUCGGUCCACACUUCAGACAAGCUUCAAACUUCCUCAUGCCCUUCAAGCUCAAGUGUCAAGAAGGAGGUUACAGAUGAAGAAGAAACCCUACAAGGAUGGUGGAUUGGUGGUGAUUUGGGAGACCGUGAAGAUAAAAUCAACGAAUUAAUUGAUAAGUUAAAUUAAUGCAGAACAUGCCCCAAAUCGCCAUUUGUGUGCAAGGGAUGAAUCCAUUACCUUGUUAGCUUUGUAAUAGCCUAGCCGAUUGUACCUUUAUUUCUGAAAGCGUACCUGAAUGUUUGGGAUCAGAUUAUGAAAUAGCAUAAUCUGUUUUCAAACCUGCCUUCUUGUUCUUAGCUUUCAAGUGUUGUGCCGAAACUAGCUGCUGAGAACUUCUAUUCUCUGACCAAGUGACUUGAGAUGUGAAGGUUACAGUAUCGGAGAGAUUAAAGGGGACCGCGAAAUGGAGCCACCACAGCGCUCCGGGGCUUUUUUGGCUGGCGUGUUCGCUUCCGGUGAUAUCCACGUCACCCUGCGCUGGAGCUGGCAAUUUUGCAAAAAAACCCUCGCUUUCUUUGAUAAUCAUUCCUAACUGCCUGGUCGUACUUCUCUGUAUUUUGUAUUCUUACGUAGUGGUCCUCUAUGUACUGGUAUUAUUAUAUGUGAAAGAGAAGAAAUUCCGAAUAUAGGGGGCGCGCUCUAAAACAAGAAAGUAAGAGGGUUUUCUUGCAAAAGAAAACAUCCCCAUCCUCCAUCCCCUCGCUUGUCCGAAACCCUAGCCGCCAUUGUACCCCACCCUUCUCUCGAUUGCUCUUUCCCUGCCUUUGCGGCGCCGCCGGUGCUGCAUCGUCUUCCCUCCCCCUCACCCGCUUCUCCUCACCGCAGAUGACAUCCCUCGCGCUCUCCCCCGCCUUCCUCCAUCUCCUGGGCUCCUGGCGCUCCCCCCACCUUUGCUCCCUUCUCUUCCUCUCUCUGUGAGGUCAAGCAGGGGAUUGGAUGGUGCUGCGCUAGCUCCGAGGAUGCUGUGAUGGAGAUUGAUGGCGUGGGGAUCGAUCUUCUGGCCCCGACGCUUGAUUUGGGAGAUUAUGAGAGGAGCCAGGGGCAUCGGGCCGACGGAGGGCGCCGGCGUAGCAAGGCGGAUGGCGGGAGGCGGCGGACGGCGGGAGGCGGUGGAGGGAGCUCGUGCUCGGUGAGGGCGGAAUCCGUCCCCCCGGCGGCGGCGGUAUCGGGGCGCCGCCGGGAGCAACGCGGCGGAGACCGGCGGGCGCCCAUCGUGGAGUCCCAGGAGGGGUAGCGAGGAAUCCGGGCAGCGGCGACCCGCACAAGUCGGCGGUGGAGGCGAGUCCCCCCGCAGCGGCACAGGAGACGGCGAGGCAGGUGCCGGCGUCAUCCGGCCGGGUGGAGAUGGUGACGACGGCGAGGCCGGAGCUCGGCGAGAUGGGAUUGACCGCAACGACGACGACAUCCAGAUCCGGGCGGCAGCGUGGAUGGCGGAGGAUGCAUCGACGGUGAACCGGCGGCCUGCAGGCGUAGGCGGCUGCGGCGGGCACGAGCUCCCCAGGCGGUGGCGGCCGCAGAGGAGGAGCCGGCAGGGACGGGUUCCCCCGUACCCUGUGCCGCGCCGACGACGCCGCGACGACCUUGACGACGCCGGCGGAGCUUGAUGGAGAUGGCACCGGCGGCAUCGGGGCGACCUCGCACCAGGUGAGGCCGACGACCAGCGGGCGGCGCGGCCUACCAACGACGUUGGGGUGCUGGUGGAGAUCGGGUCGGCCAUGCCCUCCAGAUCAGCGACGACGAUGUGGACAAUAUGAUGCUACUGCUUCUGCUUGAUUGCUUCACAAUGACGCGAACGAAGAACAGCCGCAUGUGUAGAUCGACUGCAGAAGUCCGAAUCACAAAUCAGAACAAGAAAAUUUCUCUGUGUUUUAUUUUUGGCUUGGGAUUGUGCACCGAAUACCAGAUAUUCAAGCAGAUAUUAGUCUGAAAAACAUUCUUUGUAAGCUUGUAUGAUUGAGGGAGAUUAUAACUGAUAAUUCAGUGGCUUGAUGUAAUCAAAGAGGUUUAGUGGGUGUUGUACGUUGUUAAUGUGUAUGUGUCCUCUAUGCUCCUUUCAGCUUAAAUAUGCAUUGUAUUUCUAUAGCUCUUCAUCGGAUAUAAUUUAUUCUCUACAAAGGUAUUGUUAUGCAUGUAGAUAAGUGGAACCUUUUUUUAGAGAGUAAUAAGUGCAUCCUAUUAUAAAUAUCAAAUCUGAUGACUCCUUUUGUCUUAUUCAUGUAAAAAGGGUUAGUUGCUACCAUAUAUGGUGCUCAGGUAUGUCAAAACUAUAGGGGGCAUGUUUCUUCCUAAUAUGUGUAGUAGAUUUGGCUAUCUAGCAACCUUGUGGCUAUGCUUUCUCAUCUUAUACUAUGCUAAGCAGUUGCAUUGCAGUUUAAGAUGUAUCAUUUUAUACCCAAUCUUUAGAAAUUUAUGAACAUGAUGUCAGAUUUUGUGGCCACAUACUCUUUAGGACACCCACAUCUACGGUAGUUUAACUGAUUACUUCUCACAUUAUAUUUCAAUAGAUGUAUUAUCCUUUUCUUUUGAGUGAAAGAAGAGUUUUGGAUGCUACAUUUAGUUCUUUGAGGAGUAUUUUGGAUGAUCAACUGACCGUUCUAUUGCCAAAUCUAGAAAUCAUUUAGUUUCUUGGGAAUUAUUCUUAGCGAAGGUUGUUCUAUAAAUUCCUUUAUCUUCAUUCACAUAAGCGGAUGCUUCUAUCUUGGUAUUCAUGCUUUCAGCUACACGAGAUGCAACAUAUAAAUUUAGUUUUGCAUAUGAUGGAACUAAAUUAGUUUUUUUUAAAGAAACUGAAUCUCACUAAAAUCAUCUUUGAUUAUAUACAUUGAUAUGUCUUUCUCUGUUAAGCAUGAUAAGUUUUCAUAAUUUCUGAACUAACUCUUCAGUGAUUUCUAUCUUGAAGAAUUCAACCACUAUUCCUAAAAGUGACACAAAUGUCAGAAUUCAGGUGUUGUGACAAUCUGUGUUGGAAUGAAGACCUCCAGAACUUAAUAUUGAAUGAUGUAAAUGCUGUGACACUUUGAGCUGACCACUUACAAUUGAAAUUAAUCAAAAAAAUUAUCGAUUGAUCUGAAUGACUAUCUUUGGACUUGAUCUGAUUCUAGAGGAUACUAUGAGCCUUAUCAUGAAUGUCUGAUUUUUCUUCAGGUUUGAAUAGCAUUGUUAUGUACAGUCAUAGAUAUGAUCGUGGGCAUAUAAAGUUUGAUAUGGUACUCUUCAAUUUAUAUUAGUACAAUAUAUACUUCUGGUUUAUAUUGCUCUCAAUAAACGAUAGGACGCUGUGAAGCAAGAUGCCAUUGAUUUCAUAACUAAAUGUUGAGUGUCUAUUUGUUGCUACCUCCACAAGGCAAUUGGGAUGACAUUUCAUAUUUUUGAACAGGUGAUCUUCUUCUGUUGCCUUUGCCUUUAUUUUCUUUGCUUUUUCCAGAUUUCCAAGUUCUUCUGUUGCUUCUUGCCUUUUUCGAUGCAGCAUAAUAGGAACUUACGUGCAUUUGUUCACAUGAACAUCAUAUGAUGGUUCAUAGAACCUUAGUCCUAAAUCCAUUAUCCUUAGUUAUCCUCAUGCACAUACUCCAUGUUAUUGCAACUGUCAAUGACUGUUCUAAUGUUCACUGUUGACGUGAUAGUUAGCCUUUCUAAAAAUUUACCAUGGGUGCACAGUAGAAUAAACUAAUUAAGCUAAACUAUUCAUGGGAGGAUUAGAGGCUGUAGCACCUGUACAGAUCAUUUGUUAAUAUGACAAAAAAAGAAAUCCUCUUUUACUGCACGCACUUUAUCAUAUGGCCUCAUUUAGAUGUCUAAUUGAUAUUCUGAAAUUGGUCUUACUUUGGAUAUUCUUCCUCAUUAACUAAGUAUUUUCUCGAUGGGAAGGUCAUAUACUAGCAUUACAAGGCCACCUGAAUCAUGGAACAAGAAGGCCAUAACAAAGUUGCUUGACAUUAGUUGCAAGAUUGAAAGAACUAUUGCAGAGCACCAUAUCAAUGUUUCAGAGUAGGAGUUUAAUUAAGUAUGCAAGAAAUGGUUUAUGUGCUUUCAUGCAAUUAUAUUUAAGGGACUUACAAUUUCAUAGUUGCUGUUGAUUUAAAUCCAAAAAACUUCUUGCCUAGGAAACACAACUUACUCUUUUUUGCUGAGCCAUUUAUUUUGCAUCAUCCUAGCUCUGUUAAAAUUACCGUCCUCAUCGGCUAAUGAAAACGUUGAUUAAUGUACAUCACAGUUGUGUUUCUAUGUACAAGAAGGUGAAAGAUUGUUAAAAUCAAUGUUUUUCUCUUCAGUUUGCCUUCUACUCUAGGUGAUACUUUGAAGUGUUGGUCACUAGAUAAGUGGAAUCUUUUUUCAAAAAAGAGAAAAAGAAUGCAAUCUAAUUAUAAAUAUGAAUAUCAAAUAUGAUAAUUGAUUUUGUCUUAUCUGUAUAAAAAGGAUUGGUUGCUGCCAUAGAAGGUGCUCAAGUUUGCCAAUAUUGUAGGUGUUGGUUAGCUUGAAGCUCCGUCGGCCGUGCGGCACCACCACUGUUUAGCGAUUCCAUAUCUGGUGAUAUUGGAACCAUGUGUUGUUGCCUUGCCCAGGGUCCAUUUGCAGUUUGUUUCCCAUGGUCACUUUUGGUGAGUUAAGCCACAACCAGUUCCUUUCUACACUCACUUAUGUAUGCUUGGCGUGUAUCUUCCCUUUCCUGCCUCCAGUUCCCUCGUUAGCUUUGCUUUUUCAUAUACCAUUAUUCCCUUGCAAAUGAUAGUCUACCUUUUUUUUUAUCAAGAAUGCUACAGUAUUUCUGAUUUGUACUGCAUAUCUUUUUAUUUGGUUGUGUUUGUAUAUAGUUCCAACAACCAAAAGCUUAGAUGUUCACUUCAUGAAACCACUGUGGGUCGCUCUGCUCCAUUACAUAUUUUAAGGAGGUGGUCAGGACAGGGUUUGGAUGAUUCUGCUUCAUUGUGUUUUUUAAGGUGUCAUCUAGCUGUUUGAUAUAAUCUCAGAGAAUCAAAUGCAAAAUCUGAAGAUUCAUGACCUCUUUAGAUUUCAGGUCAAUCUAAUCUGAAUUAAGACUCAAAUUACAGAACAUAGAAAAUAUUUUCUUUUUUGUUGGAUUAUGUUUAGUAACUGCAGAAGUCAGAAUCACAAAUCAGAACAUGGACAAUUCUCUCUGAUUUUUUUUUCUUAGGCCUAUGUACCAAAUACCAGAUAUUCAAGCAGAGAUUAGUCCGAAAGACGUUCUUUGUAAGCUGGUAUGAUUGAGGGAGCAUCUAGCAGUGGAUUUUAGCUGAUAAUUCUGGAAAAAGGGAUUUACCAUUAUACCUAACUCUGCCAUUUCCACAGUGUGCUGCCUGUAAUAAUCUCCAUGUCACAUUAAACGUGCGCGCGUGCACACCAGUAAAGUGUCUACUCAGCUUCCAGGAUUGCUAGCAACUUAAUUUUGCAAGCAACGAAAACCAGAAACCUGGUGCAUACAAAUUCUGAGAGUCCCCAUGUGCGAUUGAAGAAUAUUUAUUUUCUUAAGUGAUUGCAAACACAGUCCUUCACAUUACAACUUGUGAUUCAUGCCCCGUAAUGGAACUGAAUUAACCUCUUUUAAAAGAGGAUGAAUGAUUAAACCGUUUUUUAUACAUUAUUAUACCUUUUCUUGCUCUUUUGGGUAUGAUAAAUAAUUGUGGUUUCUGAAAUUAUCAGGUAUUUUUUAUCUUAUAGUAUUCAGGGUCUAUUUCAAAUCAUCAUGUAACAUCGGAAUUCAAGUUAUGUCACAGCCUGUGCUAGAAUGAAGUCCUUUCGUACUCAACAUUUACCAAUAUAAGUACAUAUAUAUUCUGACUCGUGGUACUUUUUACCAAUAACAAAUGGUAGGGCGCCGCGAAGCGCGCCUAAAGUUCUAGUAUUGUGAAUUUGCGACGAAAAUGUUUCACCUUACUGAAACUUGUGGAUGAUUAUGUGUCUGACCAAGCGGUUCGAGAUGUGAAGGUUUUGGAUACAUUCUAAUGAAAAUGGUUCAUUGCGUACUCUAUUUUUCCCAGAGAAACAUGUGGCUCAAUGUAAAAUUUGCUUAAAUUUUAAACCUCUGAAUUAACAGUAUGUAAUACAGUACUACGUGUCUCCCACAGGUCACCAAAG
This 12980-nucleotide long non-coding RNA is filed under the name Oryza sativa (Asian cultivated rice). Its description in RNAcentral is "long non-coding RNA (OSAT_LNC001562)". The record is from RNAcentral. Lineage: Eukaryota; Viridiplantae; Streptophyta; Magnoliopsida; Poales; Poaceae.